ACAGGGAUUGCCCCAGUAACGGCGAGUGAAGCGGCAUAGCUCAGAUUUGAAAUCUGGCCCCGUCGGGGUCCGAGUUGUAAUCUGCAGAGAGUGCUUCGGGCGAGACCGCGGUCUAAGUCCCUUGGAACAUGGCCUCAGAGAGGGUGAGAAUCCCGUAUGCGACCGUGGCUCGAGCCCGUGUGAAGCCUCUUCGAAGAGUCGAGUUGUUUGGGAAUGCAGCUCAAAGUGGGUGGUAAAUUUCAUCUAAAGCUAAAUACUGGCUGGAGACCGAUAGCGCACAAGUAGAGUGAUCGAAAGAUGAAAAGCACUUUGGAAAGAGAGUCAAAAAGUACGUGAAAUUGUUGAAAGGGAAGCGCUUGCAACCAGACCUGCCCGUAGGCGAUCAGCCGCUGUUCUCAGCGGUGCACUCGCUCUGCGAUCAGGCCAGCAUCGGUUUCGGCGGUUGGAUAAAGGCCUUGGGAAUGUAGCUCCCCUUCGGGGGAGUCUUAUAGCCCUCGGUGCAAUGCGGCCAGCCGAGACCGAGGACCGCGCUUCGGCUAGGAUGCUGGCGUAAUGGUUGUAAGCGACCCGUCUUGAAACACGGACCAAGGAGUCUAACAUCGAUGCGAGUGUUUGGGUGUAAAACCCAUGCGCGGAAUGAAAGUGAACGGAGGUGAGAACCCUGAAGGGCGCAUCAUCGACCGAUCCAGAUGUCUUCGGAUGGAUUUGAGUAUGAGCAUCGCUGUUGGGACCCGAAAGGUAAACCUGCACUUGCUCGAUAUCACAGAAUCUAUGCUAAUAUUUUGACCAGAUGGUGAACUAUGCCUGAAUAGGGUGAAGUCAGAGGAAACUCUGGUGGAGGCUCGCAGCGGUUCUGACGUGCAAAUCGAUCGUCAAAUUUGGGUAUAGGGCGAAAGA
RNAcentral lists this ribosomal RNA (897 nucleotides) under Myelochroa leucotyliza. RNAcentral's name for it is "eukaryotic LSU rRNA". It matches the Rfam family "Eukaryotic large subunit ribosomal RNA", at positions 68 to 930 of the family's 3401-position model. The record is from RNAcentral. Lineage: Eukaryota; Fungi; Ascomycota; Lecanoromycetes; Lecanorales; Parmeliaceae.